UGGGGAAUAUUGGACAAUGGGCGAAAGCCUGAUCCAGCCAUGCCGCGUGUGUGAAGAAGGUCUUCGGAUUGUAAAGCACUUUAAGUUGGGAGGAAGGGCAGUAAGCGAAUACCUUGCUGUUUUGACGUUACCGACAGAAUAAGCACCGGCUAACUCUGUGCCAGCAGCCGCGGUAAUACAGAGGGUGCAAGCGUUAAUCGGAAUUACUGGGCGUAAAGCGUGCGUAGGCGGCUAAUUGAGUCGGAUGUGAAAUCCCCGAGCUUAACUUGGGAAUUGCAUUCGAUACUGGUUAGCUAGAGUGUGGGAGAGGAUGGUAGAAUUCCAGGUGUAGCGGUGAAAUGCGUAGAGAUCUGGAGGAAUACCGAUGGCGAAGGCAGCCAUCUGGCCUAACACUGACGCUGAGGUACGAAAGCAUGGGGAGCAAACAGG
This 429-nucleotide ribosomal RNA is filed under the name Pseudomonadota bacterium. RNAcentral's name for it is "Proteobacteria bacterium partial 16S ribosomal RNA". It matches the Rfam family "Bacterial small subunit ribosomal RNA", at positions 355 to 776 of the family's 1533-position model. The record is from RNAcentral. Lineage: Bacteria; Pseudomonadati; Pseudomonadota.